RNAcentral lists this ribosomal RNA (253 nucleotides) under uncultured bacterium. RNAcentral's name for it is "partial 16S ribosomal RNA". It matches the Rfam family "Bacterial small subunit ribosomal RNA", at positions 524 to 776 of the family's 1533-position model. The record is from RNAcentral.
UACGUAGGUGGCAAGCGUUGUCCGGAAUUAUUGGGCGUAAAGCGCGCGCAGAUGGUUUCUUAAGUCUGAUGUGAAAGCCCACGGCUCAACCGUGGAGGGUCAUUGGAAACUGGGGAACUUGAGUGCAGAAGAGGAAAGUGGAAUUCCAAGUGUAGCGGUGAAAUGCGUAGAGAUUUGGAGGAACACCAGUGGCGAAGGCGACUUUCUGGUCUGUAACUGACACUGAGGCGCGAAAGCGUGGGGAGCGAACAGG